ACGCUCGACACCUACGGUAGGCAGCAGUCGGGAAUAUUGCGCAAUGGAGGGAACUCUGACGCAGUGACGCCGCGUAUAGGAAGAAGGUUUUCGGAUUGUAAACUAUUUUAGACAGGGAAGAAUAAAGACAGUACCUGUAGAAUAAGCUCCGGCUAACUACGUGCCGGCAGCCGCGGUAAUCUGAGCGGGCUGGCAAGGC
Molecule: ribosomal RNA, 199 nt
Filed under: uncultured bacterium
Lineage: Bacteria
Description: partial 16S ribosomal RNA
Rfam family: Bacterial small subunit ribosomal RNA
Source: RNAcentral